GAGUUUGAUCGUGGCUCAGAGUGAACGCUGGCGGCAGGCCUAACACAUGCAAGUCGAACGGCAGCACAGUCCCGCAAGGGAUGGGUGGCGAGUGGCGGACGGGUGAGGAAUACAUCGGAAUCUACCUUGUCGUGGGGGAUAACGUAGGGAAACUUACGCUAAUACCGCAUACGACCUACGGGUGAAAGCGGCGGACCGCAAGGCGUCGCGCGAUUGGAUGAGCCGAUGUCCGAUUAGCUAGUUGGCGGGGUAAGAGCCCACCAAGGCGACGAUCGGUAGCUGGUCUGAGAGGAUGAUCAGCCACACUGGAACUGAGACACGGUCCAGACUCCUACGGGAGGCAGCAGUGGGGAAUAUUGGACAAUGGGCGCAAGCCUGAUCCAGCCAUGCCGCGUGUGUGAAGAAGGCC
Molecule: ribosomal RNA, 409 nt
Filed under: uncultured Gammaproteobacteria bacterium
Lineage: Bacteria; Pseudomonadati; Pseudomonadota; Gammaproteobacteria
Description: bacterial SSU rRNA
Rfam family: Bacterial small subunit ribosomal RNA
Source: RNAcentral